RNAcentral lists this ribosomal RNA (828 nucleotides) under uncultured bacterium. RNAcentral's name for it is "bacterial SSU rRNA". It matches the Rfam family "Bacterial small subunit ribosomal RNA", at positions 60 to 920 of the family's 1533-position model. The record is from RNAcentral.
AGUCGAGCGAUUACUUCGGUAAGAGCGGCGGACGGGUGAGUAACGCGUGGGUAACCUGCCCUGUACACACGGAUAACAUACCGAAAGGUAUGCUAAUACGAGAUAAUAUACUUUUAUCGCAUGGUAGAAGUAUCAAAGCCCCGGCGGUACAGGAUGGACCCGCGUCUGAUUAGCUAGUUGGUAAGGUAACGGCUUACCAAGGCGACGAUCAGUAGCCGACCUGAGAGGGUGAUCGGCCACAUUGGAACUGAGACACGGUCCAAACUCCUACGGGAGGCAGCAGUGGGGAAUAUUGCACAAUGGGCGAAAGCCUGAUGCAGCAACGCCGCGUGAGCGAUGAAGGCCUUCGGGUCGUAAAGCUCUGUCCUCAAGGAAGAUAAUGACGGUACUUGAGGAGGAAGCCCCGGCUAACUACGUGCCAGCAGCCGCGGUAAUACGUAGGGGGCUAGCGUUAUCCGGAAUUACUGGGCGUAAAGGGUGCGUAGGUGGUUUCUUAAGUCAGAGGUGAAAGGCUACGGCUCAACCGUAGUAAGCCUUUGAAACUGGGAAACUUGAGUGCAGGAGAGGAGAGUGGAAUUCCUAGUGUAGCGGUGAAAUGCGUAGAUAUUAGGAGGAACACCAGUUGCGAAGGCGGCUCUCUGGACUGUAACUGACACUGAGGCACGAAAGCGUGGGGAGCAAACAGGAUUAGAUACCCUGGUAGUCCACGCCGUANACGAUGAGUACUAGCUGUCGGAGGUUACCCCUUCGGUGGCGCAGCUAACGCAUUAAGUACUCCGCCUGGGAAGUACGCUCGNCAGAGUGAAACUCAAAGGAAUUGACGGGGAC